RNAcentral lists this non-coding RNA (2335 nucleotides) under Pongo abelii (Sumatran orangutan). The record is from RNAcentral. Lineage: Eukaryota; Metazoa; Chordata; Mammalia; Primates; Hominidae.
CGCCAAGACAGGUGCCUGGGCCGCGCCGCCCCGCCCCGCCCUACCUGGGCGGGGUUGGGACCUUUCUGGCACCUGCAUCGAAGCCGGCGGCAGGGUGGACUUCGUUGUCCCGGUCCCAGACUACCCUCCUCCACCGCCGCCUCCCACUGCAAAAGGGCCUAGAUAAGGAACCUAAUUCGAGCUAUCCUUCUCUGUGAAGUCCGACGGCUGAGAACGUCAGGGCUCGUUCCCAGGUCUCUUUCCAGAGGCUAAGCUUUAUGCGAGCAUGGGUUACCAGCGAUGCAUCCUGAUCAAGCAAAGAAAGAGAGGCUGGAGAAGGAAGAGUGACAGAAGUAAGAGGAGAGUGUCUGUCCACUUCCACUCCAGCCCCCUACAGCUCAUCCUCCAGCAGGCAGCCAAGGGCACUUAUAGGAUCUCACAUCAGGUCGUUGCCUCACAUUCUGCACUGGCUUCCCAAGUAAUUAAAGUAAAAUCCAAAUUCCAGCUCGCAGCUUAGAAAACUCAGCAGGACUGGCCUCUGUCCUAUCCCACCACCUCAGUCCCUCAGGCUCAUCUCCUGUCACUCCUGCCCAUUUCUGGACCCCAGCCAUUCCUCAAACAGGGUAAGCCCAUUCCUGCUUCAGGGCCUUUGUACAUAUUGUUUCCUCUUCCUGGAAUCUUCUUUCUUGUACAGCCCCAGGGUUUUCUUUUUUUCAUCCAGAUCACAGCACAGAUGUCACAUCCUGAUAACAGCCAGCUGUGACUCAUCUCCCUAAUUCUCAAUCGCAUUACCCUCUUUUUAUUUUCUUCAUAUCGUAACUGAUAGUCUCAUACAGUACAGAAGCUAAGUUUUAAGAUAUGCAAUCACAAAAUACCUGCUACACAAACCUCAAUGUUAAUAUAAAAUAAGACUAGAAUUUAUAUUCUAAAGAGAGAUGAGGUAGCUCUGUUCACUUUUGAGAGGGAACUCAAAUGAGAGAGACACCUUUGACCUAAAGGUGUCAGGAAACCAGAUGAAGAAAAACACCCCUGCUAUGAUUUGAAUGUUUUUAUCCUCUCCAAAAUUCAUGUUGAAACUUACUCCCCAGUGCAGUAGUGUUGGAAGGCAGGGUCUAAUGGGAUUUAUGGAGGUCAUUAGGCUCUGCCGUCAUGAAUGGAUUAAUGUUGUAAGCCAAAAAAUAAAAUUCCAAGCCCCCCUCCCCCCCCCCACCAUAUGAAUAGACCCCUCCUCUCAGCCAAGGGCAUUCCAAAGUUAAUUUGAAAAAUGAGUUCGGGCCAUGAUGGGAAGCAGAAGCUGGACUUGCCUCAUUAUACCCUCCUCCCUUCUGGAAUUAGUGAUAGAACAGACUCUUUAAGUCUGAUAAGAAACAUUUACAGUCUGUUAUCUCUGGAGGUUUCAUCUGCAUGGUAAAACCUUGAGUUCCACAACCCCAGACAUUCUUUUCUAUUGACAAUAACUCUUUAAAUCAAUUGGCAAUCAGAAAUCUGGAAACUUUCUGUAUCAGUGUACAUCUUAUAUGUAUUGAUUGAUGUCUCAUGUCUCCCUAAAAUGUAUAAAACCAAGCUGAACCCUAACCACCCUGGGCAUGUCCUCAGGAUCUCCUGAGAGCUGUGUCAGGGGCCACUGGUCACCAUAUUUGGCUCAGAGUAAAUCUCUUCAAAUAUUUUACAGAGUUUGACUCUUCGUCAACAAUGCCAUUGUAAAAGGUUCAUGGAGAGAUUCUGCAUGUGCUUGCAUGCUCUUUCUCUCUCUCUCUUUCUUUCUCUCCCCCCACCCCCACCCUCCACCACCCUGCCCUUUACCUUCUGUCAUGUGAGGUUGCAGUCCCUGCCCUUUACCUUCUGUCAGGUGAGGAUGCAGUAUCCAAGGCACCAUCUUGAACUCAUUAUCGCCAAAUAUGUCAGCACCUUGAUGUUGGACUUCCCAACCUCCAGACCGUAAGGCAGUACAUUUCUUUGUAAAUUACGCAGUCUCAGCUAUUCUGUUACAGCAGCACAAAUGGACUAAGACAACCCCUGAGAUAGGAAGGGGUAAGGUAAAUGCAAUGAGAGUUGGGGUUUUCGAUCUUAGUCCAGUAAAGGAGCUGGAACUGUUCUGUAUAAUCAAAAGGCAAGGUAAUUGCUACAUAGAUUAUUUUCUUAUUAUUGCUGAUUCUUAUCCUAAAAUAAAGGACGUUGCCACUACACAUCCUCUAGAAUGACCAAAAAUAAAAAUACUGACAGCAUCAAAUGGGAUGACAUGGUGCCAGCUGGAAUUCUCAUACCUUGCUGAUGGGAGUAUAAUGUGGUACAGUCACUUUGGAAAAAAGUUUGACAAUUUCUUAUAAAAUUAUACAUAAACCUGUACUAUGACCUA